Molecule: ribosomal RNA, 484 nt
Filed under: uncultured bacterium
Lineage: Bacteria
Description: partial 16S ribosomal RNA
Rfam family: Bacterial small subunit ribosomal RNA
Source: RNAcentral
AUUGAACGCUGGCGGCAGGCCUAACACAUGCAAGUCGAGCGGUAGAGAGAAGCUUGCUUCUCUUGAGAGCGGCGGACGGGUGAGUAAUGCCUAGGAAUCUGCCUGGUAGUGGGGGAUAACGUUCGGAAACGGACGCUAAUACCGCAUACGUCCUACGGGAGAAAGCGGGGGACCUUCGGGCCUUGCGCUAUCAGAUGAGCCUAGGUCGGAUUAGCUAGUUGGUGGGGUAAUGGCUCACCAAGGCGACGAUCCGUAACUGGUCUGAGAGGAUGAUCAGUCACACUGGAACUGAGACACGGUCCAGACUCCUACGGGAGGCAGCAGUGGGGAAUAUUGGACAAUGGGCGAAAGCCUGAUCCAGCCAUGCCGCGUGUGUGAAGAAGGUCUUCGGAUUGUAAAGCACUUUAAGUUGGGAGGAAGGGCAGUAAAUUAAUACUUUGCUGUUUUGACGUUACCGACAGAAUAAGCACCGGCUAACUCUGUG